UAGUAACUGCGAGUGAAGCGGGAAAAGCUCAAAUUUAAAAUCUGGCAGUCUUUGGCUGUCCGAGUUGUAAUCUAGAGAAGUGUUAUCCGCGCUGGACCGUGUACAAGUCUCCUGGAAUGGAGCGUCAUAGAGGGUGAGAAUCCCGUCUUUGACACGGACUGCCAGGGCUUUGUGAUGCGCUCUCAAAGAGUCGAGUUGUUUGGGAAUGCAGCUCAAAAUGGGUGGUAAAUUCCAUCUAAAGCUAAAUAUUGGCGAGAGACCGAUAGCGAACAAGUACCGUGAGGGAAAGAUGAAAAGAACUUUGGAAAGAGAGUUAAACAGUACGUGAAAUUGCUGAAAGGGAAACGCUUGAAGUCAGUCGCGUUGUCUGGGGAUCAACCUUGCUUUUGCUGGGUGUACUUUCCAGAUGACGGGUCAGCAUCAAUUUUGACCGUUGGAUAAAGUCUGGAGGAAUGUGGCAUCUUCGGAUGUGUUAUAGCCUCUAGUUGCAUACAACGGUUGGGAUUGAGGAACUCAGCACGCCGCAAGGCCGGGUACUUGUACCACGUUCGUGCUUAGGAUGCUGGCAUAAUGGCUUUAAUCGACCCGUCUUGAAACACGGACCAAGGAGUCUAACAUGCCUGCGAGUAUUUGGGUGGAAAACCCGAGUGCGUAAUGAAAGUGAAAGUUGAGAUCCUUGUCAUGGGGAGCAUCGACGCCCGGACCAGACCUUUUGUGACGGAUCUGCGGUAGAGCAUGUAUGUUGGGACCCGAAAGAUGGUGAACUAUGCCUGAAUAGGGUGAAGCCAGAGGAAACUCUGGUGGAGGCUCGUAGCGAUUCUGACGUGCAAAUCGAUCGUCAAAUUUGGGUAUAGGGGCGAAAGACU
Molecule: ribosomal RNA, 866 nt
Filed under: Pholiota squarrosa
Lineage: Eukaryota; Fungi; Basidiomycota; Agaricomycetes; Agaricales; Strophariaceae
Description: LSU rRNA
Rfam family: Eukaryotic large subunit ribosomal RNA
Source: RNAcentral